GGGUUGUGAGGUUAAGUGACUAAGCGUACACGGUGGAUGCCUAGGCAGUCAGAGGCGAUGAAGGGCGUGCUAAUCUGCGAAAAGCGUCGGUAAGGUGAUAUGAACCGUUACAACCGGCGAUACCCGAAUGGGGAAACCCAGUGUGUUUCGACACACUAUCAUGUCAUGAAUACAUAGUGGCAUGAGGCGAACCGGGGGAACUGAAACAUCUAAGUACCCCGAGGAAAAGAAAUCAACCGAGAUUCCCCCAGUAGCGGCGAGCGAACGGGGGAGGAGCCCAGAACCUGAAUCGGCUUGUGUGUUAGUGGAAGCGUCUGGAAAGUCGCGCAGCAAAGGGUGAUAGCCCCGUACACUAAAAUGCACAGGUCGUGAGUUCGAUGAGUAGGGCGGGACACGUGACAUCCUGUCUGAAUAUGGGGGGACCAUCCUCCAAGGCUAAAUACUCCUGACUGACCGAUAGUGAACCAGUACCGUGAGGGAAAGGCGAAAAGAACCCCGGCGAGGGGAGUGAAAUAGAACCUGAAACCGUGUACGUACAAGCAGUGGGAGCACCUUCGUGGUGUGACUGCGUACCUUUUGUAUAAUGGGUCAGCGACUUAUAUUUUGUAGCAAGGUUAACCGUAUAGGGGAGCCGUAGGAAACCGAGUCUUAACUGGGCGAUUAGUUGCAAGGUAUAGACCCGAAACCCGGUGAUCUAGCCAUGGGCAGGUUGAAGGUUGGGUAACACUAACUGGAGGACCGAACCGACUAAUGUUGAAAAAUUAGCGGAUGACUUGUGGCUGGGGGGUGAAAGGCCAAUCAAACCGGGAGAUAGCUGGUUCUCCCCGAAAGCUAUUUAGGUAGCGCCUCGUGAACUCAUCUUCGGGGGUAGAGCACUGUUUCGGCUAGGGGGCCAUCCCGGCUUACCAAACCGAUGCAAACUCCGAAUACCGAAGAAUGUUAUCACGGGAGACACACGGCGGGUGCUAACGUCCGUCGUGAAGAGGGAAACAACCCAGACCGCCAGCUAAGGUCCCAAAGUCAUGGUUAAGUGGGAAACGAUGUGGGAAGGCACAGACAGCCAGGAUGUUGGCUUAGAAGCAGCCAUCAUUUAAAGAAAGCGUAAUAGCUCACUGGUCGAGUCGGCCUGCGCGGAAGAUGUAACGGGGCUAAACCAUGCACCGAAGCUGCGGCAGCGACGCUUAGGCGUUGUUGGGUAGGGGAGCGUUCUGUAAGCCGUUGAAGGUGGCCUGUGAGGGUUGCUGGAGGUAUCAGAAGUGCGAAUGCUGACAUAAGUAACGAUAAAGCGGGUGAAAAGCCCGCUCGCCGGAAGACCAAGGGUUCCUGUCCAACGUUAAUCGGGGCAGGGUGAGUCGACCCCUAAGGCGAGGCUGAAAAGCGUAGUCGAUGGGAAACAGGUUAAUAUUCCUGUACUUGGUGUUACUGCGAAGGGGGGACGGAGAAGGCUAGGCUAGCCGGGCGACGGUUGUCCCGGUUUAAGCGUGUAGGGGGUGUGACCUGGUAAAUCCGGUUGCAUAUUAACCCUGAGGCGUGAUGACGAUGCACUACGGUGCAGAAGUAGUUGAUGCCCUGCUUCCAGGAAAAUCCUCUAAGCUCCAGGUAACAUUAAAUCGUACCCCAAACCGACACAGGUGGUCAGGUAGAGAAUACCAAGGCGCUUGAGAGAACUCGGGUGAAGGAACUAGGCAAAAUGGUGCCGUAACUUCGGGAGAAGGCACGCUGGCAUGUAGGUGAAGUCCCUUGCGGAUGGAGCUGAAGCCAGUCGAAGAUACCAGCUGGCUGCAACUGUUUAAUAAAAACACAGCACUGUGCAAACACGAAAGUGGACGUAUACGGUGUGACGCCUGCCCGGUGCUGGAAGGUUAAUUGAUGGGGUCAGCCGCAAGGCGAAGCUCUUGAUCGAAGCCCCAGUAAACGGCGGCCGUAACUAUAACGGUCCUAAGGUAGCGAAAUUCCUUGUCGGGUAAGUUCCGACCUGCACGAAUGGCGUAAUGAUGGCCAGGCUGUCUCCACCCGAGACUCAGUGAAAUUGAACUCGCUGUGAAGAUGCAGUGUACCCGCGGCAAGACGGAAAGACCCCGUGAACCUUUACUAUAGCUUGACACUGAACAUUGAGCCUUGAUGUGUAGGAUAGGUGGGAGGCUUUGAAGCGUGGACGCCAGUCUGCGUGGAGCCAUCCUUGAAAUACCACCCUUUAAUGUUUGAUGUUCUAACUCUGCCCCGUAAUCCGGGGUGAGGACAGUGUCUGGUGGGUAGUUUGACUGGGGCGGUCUCCUCCCAAAGAGUAACGGAGGAGCACGAAGGUUAGCUAAUCACGGUCGGACAUCGUGAGGUUAGUGCAAAGGCAUAAGCUAGCUUGACUGCGAGAGUGACGGCUCGAGCAGGUACGAAAGUAGGUCUUAGUGAUCCGGUGGUUCUGAAUGGAAGGGCCAUCGCUCAACGGAUAAAAGGUACUCCGGGGAUAACAGGCUGAUACCGCCCAAGAGUUCAUAUCGACGGCGGUGUUUGGCACCUCGAUGUCGGCUCAUCACAUCCUGGGGCUGAAGUAGGUCCCAAGGGUAUGGCUGUUCGCCAUUUAAAGUGGUACGCGAGCUGGGUUUAGAACGUCGUGAGACAGUUCGGUCCCUAUCUGCCGUGGGCGUUGGAAGAUUGAGAGGGGUUGCUCCUAGUACGAGAGGACCGGAGUGAACGCACCACUGGUGUUCGGGUUGUCAUGCCAAUGGCAUUGCCCGGUAGCUAAGUGCGGAAAAGAUAAGCGCUGAAAGCAUCUAAGCGCGAAACUUGCCUCAAGAUGAGUCUUCCCUGGGCCUUUAAGGUCCCUGAAGGAACGUUUAAGACUAAGACGUUGAUAGGCUGGGUGUGUAAGUGCAGCGAUGCAUUGAGCUAACCAGUACUAAUGAUCCGUGAGGCUUAACCUUACAACACCGAAGGUGUUUUAG
This 2939-nucleotide ribosomal RNA is filed under the name Serratia marcescens. RNAcentral describes it as "bacterial LSU rRNA". It matches the Rfam family "Bacterial large subunit ribosomal RNA". The record is from RNAcentral. Lineage: Bacteria; Pseudomonadati; Pseudomonadota; Gammaproteobacteria; Enterobacterales; Yersiniaceae.